UGGGUCUGCAAGAAUCUGAUAAGACACUCCUGGAUGGCAAAACCAAAAAUGCUAGGGAUCAUGAAACGGGCGUAAUGCCCAGCCACAUCUGAUAUCUCUGGAUCUUGCCUGAAGAGCUUAAGAAUGUCACCAGCAUUCGCCCAUAUCAAUGCAAGAAGAAUGCUGAUGAGUAAAAGAACUAUCACUGCCCUCUGUAAGUGUAUACCAAGCAUGUGAUGCUGCUUUGCUCCAUAAGAUUGACCACAGAAUGUUUCUAAUGCACUUCCCAUUCCUCUCAAAAU
RNAcentral lists this unclassified non-coding RNA (281 nucleotides) under Hevea brasiliensis (rubber tree). Lineage: Eukaryota; Viridiplantae; Streptophyta; Magnoliopsida; Malpighiales; Euphorbiaceae. The record is from RNAcentral.